GCUAAUCCCACUAAAGAGUCCUUAUCAAUAGUGGGGGUUGGCACCUCGAUGUUGGCUUAGGGAAACUAUGCGGCGCAAAAGUCACAUAAAGAUGGUUUGUUCAACCAAUAAAUCCCUACAUGAGCUGAGUUCAGACCGGCGUAAGCCAGGUUAGUUUCUAUCCUCGAUAUAUUAAUUCUACUUAUAGUACGAAAGGACCUAAGUAAGGGUAAUACUUACAAGUAACGAAUAAAUAUAAAGAAUAUUUAACUAUAUUAUUCACACCAUAUG
This 270-nucleotide ribosomal RNA is filed under the name Gatesona chaetophora. RNAcentral's name for it is "partial 16S ribosomal RNA". It matches the Rfam family "Bacterial large subunit ribosomal RNA", at positions 2481 to 2826 of the family's 2925-position model. The record is from RNAcentral. Lineage: Eukaryota; Metazoa; Annelida; Clitellata; Crassiclitellata; Lumbricidae.